RNAcentral lists this ribosomal RNA (674 nucleotides) under Pyropia collinsii. RNAcentral describes it as "partial 28S ribosomal RNA". It matches the Rfam family "Eukaryotic large subunit ribosomal RNA", at positions 364 to 1006 of the family's 3401-position model. Lineage: Eukaryota; Rhodophyta; Bangiophyceae; Bangiales; Bangiaceae. The record is from RNAcentral.
AUGCAAAGUACUUUGAAAAGAGAGUUAAACAGGGCUUGAAACCGUUAAGAGUGAAGCGAAGGAGGUCAGUGAUCAUGGGGCCAGAUCCCCAAGUGCCUAUUUAUUAGAAACGGGCACCGUAACGUUCUGGUUUCCCGGGGCAGCGCCGGCUAGGGAUGGGUGUGAACGGGGAGGUGCUUGAGGGAUUGAUUUUCCGGCCGUACUCCCCUGAAGGCUCGUCAUCCUGGCCGAGGGAUCCGCGAUUCGUCGUGUGAGGGCGCUGUCAAAAUGGCCUUCUCCACCCCGUCUUGAAACACGGACCAAGGAGUCUAACAUACUCGCGAGUGUUUGGGUAGCUAAAACCCGAACGCACAAUGAAAGUAAACGGUGGCUCUGCGCUGCUGCUUGGUGGGAACCCUAACCUUAUACCUGGGGGCACCAUCACCCGACCCCAAUCCCUUCGGGGUGGUUGGUUUCGUGGCAGAGCGAGUAUGAUGGGACCCGAAAGAUGGUGAACUAUUCCUGAGUAGGGCGAAGCCAGAGGAAACUCUGGUGGAGGCUCGUAGCGAUGCUGACGUGCAAAUCGCUCGUCGAACUUGGGUAUAGGGGCGAAAGACUAAUCGAACCAUCUAGUAGCUGGUUCCCUCCGAAGUUUCCCUCAGGAUAGCGAGAGCAAAUGCAAGUCAGUAUCAUCC